This 162-nucleotide ribosomal RNA is filed under the name Melampsora gelmii. RNAcentral's name for it is "partial 28S ribosomal RNA". It matches the Rfam family "Eukaryotic large subunit ribosomal RNA", at positions 11 to 169 of the family's 3401-position model. The record is from RNAcentral. Lineage: Eukaryota; Fungi; Basidiomycota; Pucciniomycetes; Pucciniales; Melampsoraceae.
UCAGGUGGGACUACCCGCUGAACUUAAGCAUAUCAAUAAGCGGAGGAAAAGAAAAUAACUAUGAUUCCCUUAGUAACGGCGAGUGAACAGGGAGAAGCCCAAAUUUGUAAUCUGGCACUUUUUACAGUGUCCGAGUUGUAAUUUGUAGAACUGUUAUCCGUG